Rhododendron vialii is the source of this 197-nucleotide small nucleolar RNA. RefSeq annotates it as small nucleolar RNA snoR127. Lineage: Eukaryota; Viridiplantae; Streptophyta; Magnoliopsida; Ericales; Ericaceae. The transcript has a single exon. The record is from RefSeq and is a predicted model, not a curated record.
CUGGAAUGAUGCAUCCUUUAGCCAAAUCAGACAAUGAUGUGCUCUAUGAGGUACCUUCUUUAAAGACUAUAACAACUGUUAUUACGGAGGCUCUAUGCGAUCUCUCCUAUCCAGUUGAUUAAGCUUUAACCAAGGUAUCUUGUAUGGAAGCGCAUCUCUCUGACGAUAUCAAGGAGAUUGGUUGUUUGCUGACCAGA